Molecule: ribosomal RNA, 492 nt
Filed under: uncultured bacterium
Lineage: Bacteria
Description: partial 16S ribosomal RNA
Rfam family: Bacterial small subunit ribosomal RNA
Source: RNAcentral
AGUGAACGCUGGCGGUAGGCCUAACACAUGCAAGUCGAACGGCAGCACAGUAAGAGCUUGCUCUUACGGGUGGCGAGUGGCGGACGGGUGGGGAAUACAUCGGAAUCUACUUUUUCGUGGGGGAUAACGUAGGGAAACUUACGCUAAUACCGCAUACGACCUACGGGUGAAAGCAGGGGAUCUUCGGACCUUGCGCGAUUGAAUGAGCCGAUGUCGGAUUAGCUAGUUGGCGGGGUAAAGGCCCACCAAGGCGACGAUCCGUAGCUGGUCUGAGAGGAUGAUCAGCCACACUGGAACUGAGACACGGUCCAGACUCCUACGGGAGGCAGCAGUGGGGAAUAUUGGACAAUGGGCGCAAGCCUGAUCCAGCCAUACCGCGUGGGUGAAGAAGGCCUUCGGGUUGUAAAGCCCUUUUGUUGGGAAAGAAAAGCAGCAGCUUAAUACCCCGCUGUUCUGACGGUACCCAAAGAAUAAGCACCGGCUAACUUCGUG